This 253-nucleotide ribosomal RNA is filed under the name uncultured bacterium. RNAcentral describes it as "partial 16S ribosomal RNA". It matches the Rfam family "Bacterial small subunit ribosomal RNA", at positions 524 to 776 of the family's 1533-position model. The record is from RNAcentral.
UACGUAGGGGGCAAGCGUUGUCCGGAUUUACUGGGCGUAAAGAGCGUGUAGGCGGCCACGCAGGUCCGUUGUGAAAACUGGAGGCUCAACCUCCAGCUGUCGACGGAAACCGUAUGGCUAGAGUCCGGAAGAGGAGAGUGGAAUUCCCGGUGUAGCGGUGAAAUGCGCAGAUAUCGGGAAGAACACCCGUGGCUAAGGCGGCUCUCUAGUACGGUACUGACGCUGAGACGCGAAAGCGUGGGGAGCGAACAGG